RNAcentral lists this long non-coding RNA (260 nucleotides) under Carica papaya (papaya). Its description in RNAcentral is "long non-coding RNA (CPAP_LNC009216)". Lineage: Eukaryota; Viridiplantae; Streptophyta; Magnoliopsida; Brassicales; Caricaceae. The record is from RNAcentral.
AACAUCUUAGGGGAGUAUCAGCUAAACGCCAGGAACUUACGAGCAUAUUCUGACAUAGUCAUGUUCUCCUAGACCAAUUGGAUAAACUCCAUCUUCUUCAUAUGUUCGAUAUGCUCUGGAAGGUACUUUGCAUGAAAGGCUGCUAGGAACUGUUCACAAGUAACUGGAACAGGCAGGGUGGUCUGUUUGAGUUUCCACUAGCAUGUAGGUAGCAAGGGUGACCUUCUGCUCAGAAGUCACCUCUAUCUCUGCCAACCAGU